Molecule: non-coding RNA, 1132 nt
Organism: Doryrhamphus excisus (bluestripe pipefish)
Lineage: Eukaryota; Metazoa; Chordata; Actinopteri; Syngnathiformes; Syngnathidae
Source: RefSeq, a predicted model, not a curated record
UAUUACAUUGCUCUGCUAGUCUUUACACCACGGACACUUGACAAUGACAUAAUAGUUGCAGAAAAUGAUUAAUAAAUGUUAAUUUAAAAAAACGGAUAUUGGAUAAUUCCUCAUGGAACACUAUUGUGCCGCGGGACGGUGGUUGAACUGGUCUAUCUAUUUAACGAGAAUGUUCUGUUGCUCCUACUGAUAAAACCGCUAGCUAAAGAUUCUCCAUACGACACCGCUGUUCUGCUGUUUUAAGGAACUAGUGCAAAGGGCUUUGGUAUUUUUAACCAAAGAUUCAUUAUAUGAGAGUGUGAUAUAUUGUUUGUGUUGCAAUGUGUUUAUUAAAAAGGGUUACAUCUAUUUAAAAUUGCUUUACAAUUCACUCUGAAUCAGUUAAUCGGGGAUCGAUUGUCUAUGUCUGGCGGCGGCACUCCAUUCUGGAUGAGGAUGCUAGAGGGAGACAUCGUUUCCGACCAUUCUUAUUCACAUAUUUCCCCCUUUUUCAGGCUGUCCUCCUGUGCCGUGUUGCGUUCAAGGUGACAUUAGGCCCAAUCCGGACGACGUGUACCUGAAUGGCAUUAGUGACGUUCCAUCCAGCCUCCCACGACGUGAUUUUGGGCUUGUCCUCGUCCAGGGAUCCCCCGGUCUUAAGUGACGCGGACCUGGGUCCGGUUCCGUCCCUCUGGUAGUGGCUGUCCCCGGCCUCGAGGCCUCCUUCACCGCCGCCGCCGCCACCGUCAUCAUCGUCCCCUCCUUGGAAGGUGUCCAUUUGCAUGCCUUGCCUGUAGUCAUAAUCCAGGUCGUCGCACUCCGCGAAGCCCACGCCCUCUUCGUCCGUGGCGGCCUGGAAGCCGAGGCGGGCGAACACGCCGCUGACCUUGGCCUGGGACUUGUUGGAGACCGUGUGGGCCGCGUUGGUCAGCUUGUUGGUCAGCUUGUGUCGGAUCAGGGUCGUGGGGGUGCUGGGUGCCCAGCUGUCUUCGGGCAAGAGGCGGGGUACACCCUGGACUGGUCGACAGUCAGCCAAUCACAGGGCACUUAUAGACAAACAACCAUUCACACUCACAUUCAUACCUAUGGACAAUUUGGAGUCGGCAAUUAACUUAGCAUGUUUUUGGAAUGUGGGAGGAAAUCGGAGCACCCG